UCGAGAAUCUUUCGCAAUGGGCGAAAGCCUGACGAAGCGACGCCGUGUGUGUGAUGAAGGCCUUUGGGUUGUAAAGCACUUUCGCUUGGGAACAAGAGAGACUAGCUAAUAUCUAGUCGAUUUGAGCGUACCAGGUAAAGAAGCACCGGCUAACUCCGUGCCAGCAGCUGCGGUAAUACGGAGGGUGCAAGCAUUAAUCGGAUUUAUUGGGCGUAAAGGGCGCGUAGGCGGGAAAGAAAGUUAGGUGUGAAAUUCCGGGGCUCAACUCCGGGCACGCGCUUAAUACUACUUUUCUAGAGGAUGGUUGGAGAAAAUGGAAUUCCACGUGUAGCGGUGAAAUGCGUAGAUAUGUGGAAGAACACCAGUGGCGAAGGCGAUUUUCUAAAGUAUUCCUGACGCUGAGGCGCGAAAGCAAGGGGAGCAAACAG
RNAcentral lists this ribosomal RNA (428 nucleotides) under uncultured bacterium. Its description in RNAcentral is "bacterial SSU rRNA". It matches the Rfam family "Bacterial small subunit ribosomal RNA", at positions 355 to 775 of the family's 1533-position model. The record is from RNAcentral.